This 348-nucleotide long non-coding RNA is filed under the name Carica papaya (papaya). RNAcentral describes it as "long non-coding RNA (CPAP_LNC011750)". The record is from RNAcentral. Lineage: Eukaryota; Viridiplantae; Streptophyta; Magnoliopsida; Brassicales; Caricaceae.
UAUGAAUUUGGCCAAAUCUUUAUGACACAUCCUGGAGAUAGCUGGACCCUCCCACAUUACAAGGGAUCAAGCAACUCUAUCUCUUCGAUUCAACUUAGCUUGGUCCUAUUCCCUUCGAUUUUGUGUUACCAAAUUGAAACUAAGGGCUCCUUAGCAAAAUGAGAUGUUCAAUAUAGAGAGGUGUUUCAGAUUACUUGGAUAGAUGUCUCGUUUCUGUUUUUAAUCAGCCUUGUAUUUAUAGGAGAAUUAUUGCCACUGUUUUAAAUCAGCCUUGCAUGCACACCCACGUACAGUGGUGGAAAUGGCAAUUAGUUCUUUUCAUUUUUCUUUUUUUAUUUGUUUGGGGGG